This 253-nucleotide ribosomal RNA is filed under the name uncultured bacterium. RNAcentral describes it as "partial 16S ribosomal RNA". It matches the Rfam family "Bacterial small subunit ribosomal RNA", at positions 524 to 776 of the family's 1533-position model. The record is from RNAcentral.
UACAGAGGGGGCAAGCGUUGUUCGGAAUUACUGGGCGUAAAGGGCGCGUAGGCGGCCAACUAAGUCAGACGUGAAAUCCCUCGGCUUAACCGGGGAACUGCGUCUGAUACUGGAUGGCUUGAGGUUGGGAGAGGGAUGCGGAAUUCCAGGUGUAGCGGUGAAAUGCGUAGAUAUCUGGAGGAACACCGGUGGCGAAGGCGGCAUCCUGGACCAAUUCUGACACUGAGGAGCGAAAGCCAGGGGAGCAAACGGG